Molecule: long non-coding RNA, 1751 nt
Organism: Bombus huntii
Lineage: Eukaryota; Metazoa; Arthropoda; Insecta; Hymenoptera; Apidae
Exons: 3
Source: RefSeq, a predicted model, not a curated record
CCUAUUGUAAAUAAAUAAUGAUUAAUUCGUAGUUCUAAGAGAGCAGUAUUUUCGUAAACAAACACUCGACUCCCUAUCCCUUACCUCUUAUAAAGUUUUUCUUUCAGAAUAUUUUUGUAACCGCGCGCAAUGCGGUUGGUAGAGUCAGUGCUUGCUGCGUUAAAUCACAUUUAAUAUUGACUUAGAACAUAACAACUUUCAUUAAAUUUAAUUGUAAUAAUCAGACGCGAAAUUAGAGUCAGUGUGUCCGCCAAUUGUCAUUUGACUUAAACGGACGUGUUAAUAGUCUAUUACUCUAUUUUUUUUGUUACACGUUCGUUUUCGGUAGUAGAGUCGCAGGUCUCGCAAGAGGAUAAAGCCUUUCCUGGAGCUCAAGAAUGUAAGUUUUUCGUACAUUGCAUUUUAAUUUAUUUAUCGAACUAAAAUCUUAAAAUUUUGCUAUUGAAGUACACAAUAAAAAUGUUUGAUAUCGUUCAGAAAUUGGUAGAGCCUCAAUUUCUAAGUCUGUCAUUAUUGUGUUAAAAUUCCAUUUUUUAUAUAAAAUUAAACUAUAUUAGAAUUUCAAAUCUUUUUAUUAUUAAAAUUUCAUGUUUGAAUAGAGUUUUAUUUUGCAUUGUUUUAAGUUUUCUAACAAUCACAAGUACGUUUUCAAGAGCAACUUAUAGUAUUUAACAUGUUUUGUUACAGGUUUUUCAUAACUUGCAUCAUUUUUCCUCUUCUUUGGGAAGGAUGUAGUGGUGUUUUAAAUUUAUACAUGUAUGCCACUUCUUCUCCUUCUUCCUGUUGCCUGGAAAAUACCUAGUGGUGUUUCAAAAGCCAAAAAUUUUUCUUCCAUUGAAUUCGAGGAUUCCAAUUUGAUGGUGGCUUGAUGACGAUCUCCCUUGGAUCAGAACAACAUCGAAGACAAAAUUCUUCACAUCUAAUCGUGAGUCGCAUGUAUUUGUGUUCCUCCGGUCAUUCAAUCAUGUCGAAGGAUGAAUGAUCCGAAUCGACACGGGUGAUUGGUUGUAUACGUAGAAUUUUUGACGAGCAUAGUGACCGCGGGUAUUUAUACCCGUGAGUAGUAACAUUUUUUGUCUAUAUUUUAUUUAUUAGUUUAGGAUAGGUUUUCUUGCACACCGCGUUUUUAAAUGUUGAUGCUAAUAUAUAUAAUAUAUAUAAGUAUGAUAUUUACAUACUGCAAUAUAAAGUAUUUUGUAUAAGUAAUAUAAUGUUAUGAGAUAUAAUUAGUAUAUAUAUAUGCAUAUGAUUGAAAAUUUCACAAUAUAUUCAUUAUAAUUAUUUAUAAAAUCAAAGUAUUUUGUAGUGAAGAAGUCUGAUGCCCUCAGACUUCGUUAGUAUGGAAAUUCAAGUAUGAUUAAAGUUAUUAUAAUGCUGAUGAAGACUAUAAAUUAUGUUUAUUUUAAUGUUUUACUUUAUUAUGGUAUAGAGCAGUUUUAUCAUUUGAGUAUACACAGUAUAAUUUCAGUAAAAUUCGGAAUAUGAAAUAUGAAAGUAUAUGUUAAAGUAUAACUCUGUCUGUCCGUUAUGACGGAUGUUAUCAAAUUUCACGUGCAAGAAAACAUUUCGCGGCAGGCUGAUAUCAGAAUCAAAACAAGUUGUGAACGUUUUUUUGUGUUUUCAAAGAUGUGUUUUGAUAAAGAUAUCGCCUGAGGAUAUUUUGAGUAAUAAAGUUCAUUUAGAAUCCAUUGUUAUUCAUUGAUAUAAAUAUUACUUGCUUUGAAUCUUAGUUUAUAUUUAAUAAAUAUCUG